GAAGUGCGCCAGACCGCCGCUGGGACAUCCGCCGAAAGGCCGUCCUGGAGGAAGGUCCGGACUGCACAGGACAGCGUAGGAGCUAACGACUCUCCACCGCGAGGUGAGGAUCAGAGCAACAGAGACGAGCCGGUUUGGUCCGGGUGAAACGGGCAAUCUCUACGCGCAGCAACACCGAAUAGGCACACGUUGAUCCGGUCCGGGGAGUGUGCGGGUAGGUGGCACCGAGCCGGGUGGGCGACCCCCGGCCCAGACGAAUGGCGGUCACGGCCACACCGGCGCAAGCCGGUGCGGCCGCACAGAAUCCGGCCUAUCGGCGCGCUUCACAC
This 329-nucleotide RNase P RNA is filed under the name Burkholderiales bacterium PBB5. RNAcentral describes it as "Bacterial RNase P class A". It matches the Rfam family "Bacterial RNase P class A". Rfam says of the family: Ribonuclease P (RNase P) is a ubiquitous endoribonuclease, found in archaea, bacteria and eukarya as well as chloroplasts and mitochondria. Its best characterised activity is the generation of mature 5'-ends of tRNAs by cleaving the 5'-leader elements of precursor-tRNAs. Cellular RNase Ps are ribonucleoproteins. Lineage: Bacteria; Pseudomonadati; Pseudomonadota; Betaproteobacteria; Burkholderiales. The record is from Rfam by way of RNAcentral.